GAUGAACGCUAGCGGCAGGUCUAACACAUGCAAGUCGAGGGGCAGCACAGAAACAGCAAUGUUUUGGUGGCGACCGGCGGACGGGUGCGUAACGCGUAUGCAACCUACCUUUAACAGGGGGAUAACGGAGAGAAAUUUCCACUAAUACCCCAUAACAUCGAUCAAGGCAUCUUGAUUGGUUGAAAACUCCGGUGGUUAAAGAUGGGCAUGCGUUGUAUUAGGUAGUUGGUGAGGUAAUGGCUCACCAAGCCUACGAUACACAGGGGGACUGAGAUGUUCGCCCCCCACACUGGUACUAAGACACGGACCAGACUCCUACGGGAGGCAGCAGUGAGGAAUAUUGGUCAAUGGGGGCAACCCUGAACCAGCCAUGCCGCGUGCAGGAAGACGGCUCUAUGAGUUGUAAACUGCUUUUAAACAGGGAUAAAGCACAGUAUGUAUACUGUGUUGAAGGUACUGUAAGAAUAAGGAUCGGCUAACUCCGUGCCAGCCGCCGCGGUAA
This 502-nucleotide ribosomal RNA is filed under the name uncultured bacterium. Its description in RNAcentral is "partial 16S ribosomal RNA". It matches the Rfam family "Bacterial small subunit ribosomal RNA", at positions 28 to 523 of the family's 1533-position model. The record is from RNAcentral.